UGAACGCUGGCGGCGUGCUUAACACAUGCAAGUCGAACGAGAAAGGGAGUGCUUGCAUUCCUGAGUAGAGUGGCGCACGGGUGAGUAACGCGUGGAUAAUCUACCUUUGAAUUUGGGAUAACAUUGCGAAAGCGGUGCUAAUACCGGAUGAAGUUAUAGAUUUUUCGGAAUUAAUAAUGAAAGAUAGCCUCUGCUUGCAAGCUAUUGUUUGAAGAUGAGUCCGCGUACCAUUAGCUAGUUGGUGGGGUAAGAGCUCACCAAGGCGACGAUGGUUAGCUGGUCUGAGAGGAUGAUCAGCCAAAUGGAACUGGAACACGGUCCAGACUCCUACGGGAGGCAGCAGUGAGGAAUUUUGCGCAAUGGGCGAAAGCCUGACGCAGCAACGCCGCGUGAGUGAUGAAGGCUCUUGGGUCGUAAAACUCUGUCAAUGGGAAAGAAAGUAUUAUGUAUUAAUAGUGCGUAGUAUUGACGGUACCCAUGAAGGAAGCACCGGCUAACUCC
Molecule: ribosomal RNA, 501 nt
Filed under: uncultured bacterium
Lineage: Bacteria
Description: bacterial SSU rRNA
Rfam family: Bacterial small subunit ribosomal RNA
Source: RNAcentral